GUGAGUAACACGUGGGUAACCUACCUAUAAGACUGGAAUAACUUCGGGAAACCGGAGCUAAUGCCGGAUAACAUUUGGAACCGCAUGGUUCUAAAGUAAAAGAUGGUUUUGCUAUCACUUAUAGAUGGACCCGCGCCGUAUUAGCUAGUUGGUAAGGUAACGGCUUACCAAGGCAACGAUACGUAGCCGACCUGAGAGGGUGAUCGGCCACACUGGAACUGAGACACGGUCCAGACUCCUACGGGAGGCAGCAGUAGGGAAUCUUCCGCAAUGGACGAAAGUCUGACGGAGCAACGCCGCGUGAGUGAUGAAGGUUUUCGGAUCGUAAAACUCUGUUAUUAGGGAAGAACAAAUGCGUAAGUAACUGUGCGCAUCCUUGACGGUACCUAAUCAGAAAGCCACGGCUAAC
Molecule: ribosomal RNA, 409 nt
Filed under: Staphylococcus equorum
Lineage: Bacteria; Bacillati; Bacillota; Bacilli; Caryophanales; Staphylococcaceae
Description: bacterial SSU rRNA
Rfam family: Bacterial small subunit ribosomal RNA
Source: RNAcentral